RNAcentral lists this ribosomal RNA (950 nucleotides) under Didymella anserina. RNAcentral's name for it is "eukaryotic LSU rRNA". It matches the Rfam family "Eukaryotic large subunit ribosomal RNA", at positions 78 to 1048 of the family's 3401-position model. RNAcentral also lists the same sequence under 2 other names. The record is from RNAcentral. Lineage: Eukaryota; Fungi; Ascomycota; Dothideomycetes; Pleosporales; Didymellaceae.
CCCUAGUAACGGCGAGUGAAGCGGCAACAGCUCAAAUUUGAAAUCUGGCGUCUUUGGCGUCCGAGUUGUAAUUUGCAGAGGGCGCUUUGGCAUUGGCAGCGGUCCAAGUUCCUUGGAACAGGACGUCACAGAGGGUGAGAAUCCCGUACGUGGUCGCUAGCCUUUACCGUGUAAAGCCCCUUCGACGAGUCGAGUUGUUUGGGAAUGCAGCUCUAAAUGGGAGGUAAAUUUCUUCUAAAGCUAAAUACUGGCCAGAGACCGAUAGCGCACAAGUAGAGUGAUCGAAAGAUGAAAAGCACUUUGGAAAGAGAGUUAAAAAGCACGUGAAAUUGUUGAAAGGGAAGCGCUUGCAGCCAGACUUGCCUGUAGUUGCUCAUCCGGGUUUCUACCCGGUGCACUCUUCUAUAGGCAGGCCAGCAUCAGUUUGGGCGGUUGGAUAAAGGUCUCUGUCAUGUACCUCUCUUCGGGGAGAACUUAUAGGGGAGACGACAUGCAACCAGCCUGGACUGAGGUCCGCGCAUCUGCUAGGAUGCUGGCGUAAUGGCUGUAAGCGGCCCGUCUUGAAACACGGACCAAGGAGUCUAACAUCUAUGCGAGUGUUUGGGUGUCAAGCCCGAGCGCGUAAUGAAAGUGAACGGAGGUGGGAACCUUUCGGGGUGCACCAUCGACCGAUCCUGAUGUCUUCGGAUGGAUUUGAGUAAGAGCAUAGCUGUUGGGACCCGAAAGAUGGUGAACUAUGCUUGAAUAGGGUGAAGCCAGAGGAAACUCUGGUGGAGGCUCGCAGCGGUUCUGACGUGCAAAUCGAUCGUCAAAUUUGGGCAUAGGGGCGAAAGACUAAUCGAACUAUCUAGUAGCUGGUUCCUGCCGAAGUUUCCCUCAGGAUAGCAGUAACGUUUUCAGUUUUAUGAGGUAAAGCGAAUGAUUAGAGGCCUGGGGGUUGAAACAACCUU